This 1433-nucleotide long non-coding RNA is filed under the name Cricetulus griseus (Chinese hamster). Its description in RNAcentral is "lncRNA (ENSCGRG00015029420.1)". The record is from RNAcentral. Lineage: Eukaryota; Metazoa; Chordata; Mammalia; Rodentia; Cricetidae.
GUGAGAUCGGGAAGAUAGGAUGUGCCCGACCCUUCUCCAGUAAGGUCCAUGAUUCUCUGGGCUUGGCCAGGACGUCUCAGAGGAGUCCACUGUGGUCCAGGCUGGAGUUUGCUGUGGUGAUGGUUGUCCAUUGUGGUCCACUGGAGUUUGCUGUGGUGAUGGGAGUCCACUGUGAUCCACUGGAGUUUGCUGUGGUGAUGGCUGAUGAUGGCUCACAGGUCUCUGAAUCUCUGUCCGUUCUUUCCAGUAUGUUUUCUCUGCUGUCCAGGGCUAGAGAGAUGGCUCAGUGGUUAAGAGCAUUUGUUGCUCUUGCAAAAGACCCAAGUUCGAUUUCUAGGACCUGCCUCACAUGGCUCAGCUGCAACCAACCUCAACUCCAGCUCCAAGGAGUCAAGUGUCUUUUCAGGUCUCUGCAGGAAGUUGAACAAAAGCAACCCUUCUGCAUAUAUUUUUAUAGAAAAGCAACAACAGAGCCGGGUGGUGGUGGCACAUGCCUUUAAUCCCAGCACUUCUUGGGCAGAGGCAAGAAGAUCUUUGUGAGUUCAAGGGCAGCCUGGCCUAUAGGGAGUCUCAGGCCAACUAGAGUAUGGCGGGAAACCCUGUCUCAAAAACAAACAAAAAGAGUUUGAGGAAGAAAGACCACCUCAGACCAUCCGUGUACCUGUCGUUUCUUUUCAAGACCAUCCCAUUGCCCUUGACCUGUGUACUGAAAACUGGUGGAAAGCCAUCUUCAGCUUUGUCUACUGGGUCCUCAGGCCUGAGGCUGUAACACCGAGGCAGGGGCUUGCCUUGGGCAUAGGAGCCCUGGGGUUCAACCUCCAACACCAUAACCACACACACAAAAAAAGAUUGUUUUCUUCCAUCGACUAUCCAUAAACCAUUUCUGGUUCAACUUUCUCUCCUCCUGUCAAGCAAUAAUCAGAACCAGAAUGUUUUAGACAGCGUCUGAUGAACAUGUAGCAUGCCUUCGAGUUCCUUACCAGCUCAGAAUAAUGAAGAAAAGGAGUCCUCAAAUACUGUGAAUGUAUGUGAACUGGAGGACACAGAAGAAUAAAACCUUAGAGGACGGGCCUGGCUGGUGGCGGCUCACUCCUGAAGAAGAUAUGCGUAGCCAGCCAUGGUACUCGGACCUCCAGAGCCCCCUGCCCUUAUUGCUUCUCCUACACUAGAGCUAGUGGGAUACAGUGCAAGACACUUGUGUGUGACUGCUCUUUCUUAAGCUGCAGUUCUGUGUUGGCUGGUUUUAUGUCAAUGAGAUACAAGCUGGAGUCAUUUGGAAAGACGGAAUUUCAACUGAGAAAAAGCCAGACUGGUCUAAGGGCAAGCCUGUGGUGCAUUUUUUUUUUUUUUUUGAUUGGUGAUUGUUGUGGGCAGAACCACCUCUGGACUGGUGGUCCCUGGUGCUAUAAGAAAGCAGGCUGGGAUGGGGGGAG